CCUACGGGUGGCUGCAGUGAGGAAUAUUGGUCAAUGGGCGCAGGCCUGAACCAGCCAAGUCGCGUGAGGGAAGACUGCCCUAUGGGUUGUAAACCUCUUUUAUAAGGGAAGAAUAAUUACUACGUGUAGUCCGCUGCCCGUCCCUUCUGCAUAAGCAUCGGCUAACUCCGUGCCCGCAGCCGCGGUAAUCCGGAGGAUGCGAGCGUUAUCCGGAUUUAUUGUGUUUAAAGGGGGCGUCUUCUUGAUUUUAAUUUCUUGUUAAAACGUCGGGGCUUCACCUUGAUUGGCCAUUAAAACUGGAGUACUAGAGUACAGACGAGGUAGGCGGAAUAAGUUAAGUAGCGGUGAAAUGCUUAGAUAUAACUUAGAACCCCGAGAGCGAAGGCAGCUUACCAGACUGUUACUGACGCGGAAGCACGAGAGCGUGGGUAGCGAACAGGAUUAGAUACCCUGGUAGUC
Molecule: ribosomal RNA, 459 nt
Filed under: uncultured bacterium
Lineage: Bacteria
Description: partial 16S ribosomal RNA
Rfam family: Bacterial small subunit ribosomal RNA
Source: RNAcentral